CGAGUUCUCGUUGAUGAUCGGUGCUUGCACCGAGAUUCAACAUGGAACGAGUGGCGGACGGGUGAGUAACACGUGGGUAACCUGCCCUUAAGUGGGGGAUAACAUUUGGAAACAGAUGCUAAUACCGCAUAGAUCCAAGAACCGCAUGGUUCUUGGCUGAAAGAUGGCGUAAGCUAUCGCUUUUGGAUGGACCCGCGGCGUAUUAGCUAGUUGGUGAGGUAAUGGCUCACCAAGGCGAUGAUACGUAGCCGAACUGAGAGGUUGAUCGGCCACAUUGGGACUGAGACACGGCCCAAACUCCUACGGGAGGCAGCAGUAGGGAAUCUUCCACAAUGGACGCAAGUCUGAUGGAGCAACGCCGCGUGAGUGAAGAAGGCUUUCGGGUCGUAAAACUCUGUUGUUGGAGAAGAAUGGUCGGCAGAGUAACUGUUGCCGGCGUGACGGUAUCCAACCAGAAAGCCACGGCUAACUACGUGCCAGCAGCCGCGGUAAUACGUAGGUGGCAAGCGUUAUCCGGAUUUAUUGGGCGUAAAGCGAGCGCAGGCGGUUUUUUAAGUCUGAUGUGAAAGCCCUCGGCUUAACCGAGGAAGCGCAUCGGAAACUGGGAAACUUGAGUGCAGAAGAGGACAGUGGAACUCCAUGUGUAGCGGUGAAAUGCGUAGAUAUAUGGAAGAACACCAGUGGCGAAGGCGGCUGUCUGGUCUGUAACUGACGCUGAGGCUCGAAAGCAUGGGUAGCGAACAGGAUUAGAUACCCUGGUAGUCCAUGCCGUAAACGAUGAAUGCUAGGUGUUGGAGGGUUUCCGCCCUUCAGUGCCGCAGCUAACGCAUUAAGCAUUCCGCCUGGGGAGUACGACCGC
This 859-nucleotide ribosomal RNA is filed under the name uncultured bacterium. Its description in RNAcentral is "bacterial SSU rRNA". It matches the Rfam family "Bacterial small subunit ribosomal RNA", at positions 58 to 889 of the family's 1533-position model. The record is from RNAcentral.